RNAcentral lists this long non-coding RNA (1495 nucleotides) under Zea mays. RNAcentral describes it as "long non-coding RNA (ZMAY_LNC005154)". The record is from RNAcentral. Lineage: Eukaryota; Viridiplantae; Streptophyta; Magnoliopsida; Poales; Poaceae.
GGGAUGAUCCCCUUGAGCGCUCUCUGGUUCUUCAUCUCUGCACCAAGCACGAAACAAAACAUACUGACAUUAAACCAUUUUGGACACUAAUCAGUAGCUAGCUACAAAAAAGAGACAUACUGUUUGUUGUUUUAAGCAAUGGAUACGGCUUCGAAUGACAUGGUUGCUGUGUGAUACAAUGUGCAGUAAAGAAGAGCCAUACUGACCAUGUAUAGCCCAGAGAAAGAAAUCAACUGAUAAAUAGAUAAACGAACAAAAGCUUAACAGGUCAAUAAGUACAUUCAAAUGAUAAAUAGACUGCCAAAUAGAUAGAUCUAUUCAUAAAUGAAAUUACCGAACAAUUAAAUAGUCGUACAUGAGUAGUGACUUACUGAUAUGCAAGUACGACCUUAGAGAUGCCACAUUACCACCUGCAUAUAAAUGAAAGAUCUUUACACAUCAUUGAAAAGUUAGAUGUGAAAAAAAUCUCAUGGUAAGUUAAGAAUCGCUACUCAUACAAAACACAAGCUCAAAUAAGCAUGUUAGCAACCAAUAAAACAUGACAAACUCAAUGAAGCCACUGUUAGCAGCGUAGUUUUUUUUACAGUAUUAGCAACAUAGUUUCUAUUCUUAGAAGAAAAAAGUAGAAGUGUCAACUCCACCAAGAAACUCCUGCAACUUAUGAGGAUGGUAUUCCAAAGUCAUACCACCAUUUGUCAUAACAUCAUACAUGUUCAAUACUAAUGUCAUGUGAGUGCAGACAGAAUACCCAGUAAAUUUGGGAUCGAAGGGUAAUAACCACAUCAGAUGUUGUGAAUGUACUUAGAUUUCUAAUAUUUAGGAUUGCAAAUACCUUUUGCUCUAGCUUUCCUACAAGCGUCGAUGCGUCCGCGUAAGCCUCUUCCUCCUACAAUUGGUGAUGGUGGCCGUACCACGGAAGUCGCAGCUGGUUGAGGCGGGUAGCUGUUGAAGGCGUAGGACGCGUGGUCGUGGACGGUGUCGGGGUUGAAGCACCUCCCGCCCUGCUGAAUCGUCAAUGGAAAACCAGGUUUCCCGAAGAUCACAAACACAGAUCAGAGACGUGGUCGAUAGAUAUACAUAUUUCCUCAAAUCACAUCAUAGGUCUUCUAAUUUCCAUUGAUGAAUCGAGCACGAAUAUUAAAAACAUGCCUACUUCGCAUCCAAAAUAGGGAGCACACCUAUGAAUCAUGACUCGAGCUCACCAAGUCGAGCCUGAUAUUGGUCAUUAUUGUACUCCGACGAGAGCUCGUAGCACUCCUGCACCUGCGCACGCAAAUAGAUGCCAUCUGAUCAGUAGGAACACACGGCUUAAUAACCAACAAUUUGUUUCAGCUUAUUAAAAACAUAGACAACUGCAUUUUCUAGUUUUCUUAUUUUGAAAUGCAUUUUAAUUUUAUUUCCCCUAUUUUUGUUUCUAAUCAUGGAUGCUACCUGCUGCUCCAACCAAUACAAUGUUCUCAAGCUGAAAAGGAGUUUAGGUGUUCCGAAGAUGCAG